This is a non-coding RNA of Arachis ipaensis, 1019 nucleotides long. The record is from RefSeq and is a predicted model, not a curated record. NCBI's taxonomy places the organism in Eukaryota, Viridiplantae, Streptophyta, Magnoliopsida, Fabales, Fabaceae.
UGAAAUGGACCCUACAAAAAGUAUUGACGUAUCAUAUACAUCAAGAAUGCUCCAUGUGUUUUGUGCAGGGCUCCAUGUGUGAUUGUAUACCUGCACAUACUAAGUCACGUUUUUUCUUAACUGGAUAAAAUUACAUUUGCACAAUGGGAGGCCCUCAUAAAGGAAAGUGAAUCAGAUUUUCAAAUUUUUUUUUUGGGUAAUAAAACACUUUAUUCACAGGGAUAAAUGAAUUACCCUUUUUCCAUUUCAUAAACAAGGCCUGCCUGUUUGAUUUAUAAUUCUCAUAUUCCGUUUAAUCACACUUUUUUAAUCCCUUUCAAUGUUUCCUCUCUAGAAUGAAAACAUGUUCCUAUGCAAGCGAAUAGCAAAUGCUGCUGUACUAGCAAUGAUUGUCACAACUGCUGGUGGUUUAUAAUGGUUCUGUGAUUGGCCGAAUAAUUGCUAAGUGUUAUUAAGGAUUUCAGAUCAUUGAUUUGGCUUUUCUAAAUAUAGAGCAGAAGGAGUUAACUGUUGAUUGACAGGAAUAUGUAAAGUUACUUUGCUCACUUGUUUUAUGAUGGGACUUAUCAGGAAAAUUCGAAGAGAGGGACUUCUUUCUUUGCGGCACUAGCAUCUCAUUUUCCAGGGUGAUGGUUUAGACAUCUCCGUUCUCUUCGCUAGAGCACGCAACAUCAUUUGCAAGGGACUUAUGGUUCAACAAGUCACCUAUUCAAUCAUGGCUGGAUGUAUUCUCUAAACACCUACACAUAGAUGAGGCUGCUAAGUUUGCGCCUGGGCCAAUUAUGUUGGAAUUAGAGCAAUUUGGAAAAAAUACUGCAGAAAAUUUGGCUUUGUGUUCAUAACAAGUACAGACAAGAAGCUAUUGCACCAAAUACUGGAGGAGGUGAAGACACGCUAUGAGAAUAGUUUUAUUGUUGAACUUGAUAUUACGUCUUGGGAGUAAUUCAUUCUUAUAGAAAGAAAGCUUCCACAACUUUGGGAUUGUAAUCCAAACAAUAAAUCUGUAGUAUUAUGCUUAA